CUACGGGUUGCUCCAGUGGGGAAUAUUGCACAAUGGAGGAAACUCUGAUGCAGCAACGCCGCGUGGAGGAUGACACUUUUCGGAGCGUAAACUCCUUUUAUAUAGGAAGAAGAUGACGGUACUAUAUGAAUAAGCGCCGGCUAACUCCGUGCCAGCAGCCGCGGUAAUACGGAGGGCGCAAGCGUUACUCGGAAUCACUGGGCGUAAAGAGCGUGUAGGCGGAUUAAAAAGUCAGAAGUGAAAUCCUAUAGCUUAACUAUAGAACUGCUUCUGAAACUCUUAAUCUAGAAUGUGGGAGAGGUAGAUGGAGUUUCUGGUGUAGGGGUAAAAUCCGUAGAGAUCAGAAGGAAUACCGAUUGCGAAGGCGAUCUACUAGAACAUUAUUGACGCUGAGACGCGAAAGCGUGGGGAGCAAACAGGAUUAGAUACCCGGGUAGUC
Molecule: ribosomal RNA, 439 nt
Filed under: uncultured bacterium
Lineage: Bacteria
Description: partial 16S ribosomal RNA
Rfam family: Bacterial small subunit ribosomal RNA
Source: RNAcentral